GACGAACGCUGGCGGCGUGCUUAACACAUGCAAGUCGAACGGAAAGGCCCUGCUUUUGUGGGGUGCUCGAGUGGCGAACGGGUGAGUAACACGUGAGUAACCUGCCCUUGACUUUGGGAUAACUUCAGGAAACUGGGGCUAAUACCGGAUAGGAGCUCCUGCUGCAUGGUGGGGGUUGGAAAGUUUCGGCGGUUGGGGAUGGACUCGCGGCUUAUCAGCUUGUUGGUGGGGUAGUGGCUUACCAAGGCUUUGACGGGUAGCCGGCCUGAGAGGGUGAACGGCCACAUUGGGACUGAGAUACGGACCAGACUCGUACGGGAGGCAGCAGUGGGGAAUAUUGCACAAUGGGCGGAAGCCUGAUGCAGCAACGCCGCGUGCGGGAUGACGGCCUUCGGGUUGUAAACCGCUUUCGCCUGUGACGAAGCGUGAGUGACGGUAAUGGGUAAAGAAGCACCGGCUAACUACGUG
This 468-nucleotide ribosomal RNA is filed under the name uncultured bacterium. RNAcentral describes it as "partial 16S ribosomal RNA". It matches the Rfam family "Bacterial small subunit ribosomal RNA", at positions 28 to 507 of the family's 1533-position model. The record is from RNAcentral.